GACGAACGCUGGCGGCGUGCUUAACACAUGCCAGUCGAACGAUGAAGAAAAGAAUCGCAGCUUCGGCAGAAAUUCAUUUCGGAUUAGUGGCAGACGGGUGAGUAACGCGUGAGCAACCUACCUCUUACAAAGGGAUAGCCUCGGGAAACCGGGAUUAAUACCAUAUAACAUUGUGACGAAGCAUUUCGAUGCAAUCAAAGCUACGGCGGUAAGAGAUGGGCUCGCGUCCCAUUAACCGGAUGGUGAGGUAACGGCUCACCAUAGUGACGAUGGGUAACCGGCCUGAGAGGGUGAACGGUCACACUGGAACUGAGACACGGUCCAGACUCCUACGGGAGGCAGCAGUGGGGAAUAUUGCACAAUGGAGGGAACUCUGAUGCAGCGACGCCGCGUGAGUGAUGAAGGAAUUCGGUUCGUAAAACUCUGUUCUAUGGGAAGAAAAGGACUGUACCAUAGGAGAAAGCUCCGGCUAAAUACGUGC
RNAcentral lists this ribosomal RNA (481 nucleotides) under uncultured bacterium. RNAcentral's name for it is "partial 16S ribosomal RNA". It matches the Rfam family "Bacterial small subunit ribosomal RNA", at positions 28 to 508 of the family's 1533-position model. The record is from RNAcentral.